CAGUUGGUGUCCUUUUCCACCUACCCACGCCUCAAGUACUAUACGGUGUGAGAAUUUAGCAAAGUGGAGAAACUGGACUCUAGAUCUUGUUGGGGAAAGCUCCCAUGAUCCCUGGCCCAUACUAACUGGGGAGCCAGAGUUCAACAACACUUGAAGGACCACCAUUUUUGCAGCAUUGAUUUAACACAUAACAGCCAUAUGUCUUGUAGCUCCAUUUACUUCAUGAGAGAUAGCACAGACAGGGCCAUCCCAUGUAUGGCCAUGUCUUUACCUGAGAUGUUGGGGGGACUGACAGACUCCCACUCCCCCUGCAACACGGUCCACCAUCCAGUUUGAAACCAUACUGGACCUGUUAGCUUUGCAAAUGUGCUAGCAGAUUUUUUGAAAUUGCUGCCCCACUUCUGAGUAAGCAUGCCUAGGAAUGCAGCGUUCAUUAACCUUUUAAAAAUGGAUGCCAAAUGUACGAUUCAUUUUUCUUGGGAUGAUGCAUAUUACUGACAAGACAAAACUUAAAUCCUUUAUUAUUUUUUAUUUUGCACACAGUGGAUAACUAGCGGGCAUCGCCAUGGAAACAUAGUCACUCUGUUUGAGUUUCAUCGCUCUCUGUCCUUCUAGAAGGCAUCCUGUUUUCUUCACACUUGACAGUUUCCUUUUGGCAAGUGGCCGUCCUGAAUAACAGGACAACUUGUGUUAAGUUGCAUUAAUCCAUAUCUGGGAAAGCCAGUUCUUUCCUGGCAGUUCUUAGGCCUCCGGCAGCAAUGAUACUGCAGUAUUACCAGCUGGAAUGAGGGGGGAUGUCAACAAAACUGACACUGCAGAGAGGUUUUAGUAGAGUCUCUUGGAAAUAAUGACCUUUCUUUUGUUCACUCCAAGCCUUUGGGACAGGUCAGAAAACACAUUAGUUUCCUUUACUAGCACAGAGUUGAUCUGUGUUUAAUAUUGGCAGAAAGGCUUCAUGAAUCCUCUACAGGCACUUUAGGCCCCAGGAAUGUGCAGUUAAUUAAAGCAACUCAACUCCAUUAUGUUGCAGUGUCUCGAAGAGAAGUUGGCCAUGAAGAGAGCUUCAGAAAACAGCACGAGCUUUUAGGCAUCCUUCACUCCAUUCUGGGGAAGCUUUGAGUUUCUCUCCCACAGCAAGAGAGAGUGUGAGAAACUCAAGCAAAACAUGUUACCAUAGUGAUCCACUGUCUCUGGGAGAAUCAAGUGGCCUCAUACCAUUCUUACAUUAUUUUCCUAACAACUGCUAACAACUCAUGGGCUGGUACAUCUUUAUAACUGUGUACUUUCUAAAGCUAAGCUUACAGAAACGAGACACGCUCCUACAACGUCACGAUAAGGCAUUUAAUGGCAAAAGGCCUUAGAGCUGAGGCACUGUGUCACAUGGUUCCUCAAAAGCUUGUGUUUGUGCAAAGGUACCAGAGUCUCCUGAGUAUUCCCUGAAGAUCAGAACCAAGGGGUGGACUACAAACGAUAGCAAGGAGAAGGCAUGAUGUAUAUUCCUGUGAGCUAGAAGGAAUGGAGAAGCACGAUUAAAAAUGACCUACUUUAGUAUGAUAAAUAAUACGUCAAAAAUUGAACAGAUGGACCCCUGCUGCUACAUUCAAGACUAAUUUCUCACCCUUCUUCAUGCUCAGACACUUGGAACGUUUCUCUUUGCAAAACGAGCGCUCCCUUUCCAUAAAAAAUGAAAGCCUUGCAACCAGCACCAGGGCACUCAAAUAUCAUUGGAGAAUUGAAACCUGUCACACUGCAUUCCAUAAUUUUCCAGCAUCACAGGAAUGAUUCACCCUGAUUGAGACUGCAGGCAAGUGACAAAAUACUGCUGUAUUAGCCAAAUAAUAAAAAAAGCAAUUUUUGCUU
Podarcis muralis (Common wall lizard) is the source of this 1860-nucleotide non-coding RNA. NCBI's taxonomy places the organism in Eukaryota, Metazoa, Chordata, Lepidosauria, Squamata, Lacertidae. The record is from RefSeq and is a predicted model, not a curated record.